AGCUCAAUGGAUAGAGCAUCUGACUACGGAUCAGAAGGUUGGGGGUUCGAGUCCCUUC
Molecule: transfer RNA, 58 nt
Filed under: Actinomyces sp.
Lineage: Bacteria; Bacillati; Actinomycetota; Actinomycetes; Actinomycetales; Actinomycetaceae
Also listed under: 1 other name
Description: tRNA-Arg(acg)
Rfam family: tRNA
About the family: Transfer RNA (tRNA) molecules are approximately 80 nucleotides in length. Their secondary structure includes four short double-helical elements and three loops (D, anti-codon, and T loops).
Source: RNAcentral